RNAcentral lists this long non-coding RNA (1129 nucleotides) under Mus musculus (house mouse). RNAcentral's name for it is "RIKEN cDNA 1700041M19 gene (1700041M19Rik)". Lineage: Eukaryota; Metazoa; Chordata; Mammalia; Rodentia; Muridae. The record is from RNAcentral.
AUACUCAUAGAUGAGGAGCCAUCAGAAGAGUCCAGCUAACACAGCUUAGGCCUAUUUCAUCAUCCCACCAAACAAGAAGAUAGCCUGCUUCUCGCUUGACAGAUCAAGGAAGGAGGAGGUGGAGGAGAUGACAGAACAAGAUCUACUGAAAAGACAUCCAUGACCUGGUGGCAGGUGCCCAAGCCAUGUGCUCCCAAUACCCACAACUGGAUUCUUUUUGCUGAAGAGAGAAAAGACAUCCAUGACCUGGUGGCAGGUGCCCAAGCCAUGUGCUCCCAAUACCCACAACUAGAUUCUUUUUGCUGAAGAGACCUAUGAUGAACACAACAAAAUCAUAGGAAUCCAGGACUCCCCACUUGAAGGAUACUAAACUAGGAUGGAAAUUACCUCUACACCCCGAUUGCAUCUCCACUAUCCCCGGCCCAUUCCUCUGCUUUCCUUUUUGCAACACAGAGGUGAUAGCCUACCAUGGAAGGGAAGCCAUGACAGAAUUGACAUUGCAGUGGGGAGUCCAGGCUGCUGGAACCUGAGAAUCGAAAUCCCACAAGCCUAUGUUCAGCUACCUGCUUCUGCCACCAAUUUCUCAUCUUCAAAAGGCUCCAUAAACGCCCAAAACAGUUCAAAGCAACUAAGGAUCAACUGAUGAAACAUUUGUCCUUAUGGUGGAUAUCCCAUGACAAAAAAAUUUAUAUUAACAAGACAACAGUUUUACAAGUUGGUGGUUGUGACACUGUUGGGUUUUGACUUUAAAGUAGGGUGUUACUAUAGCCCAGACUGGUCUUGAAUACACAGUGUAGCCCAGCAUAGGCUGACCUGGAAGUCAUGGAAGUCCUCCUGCCACCUCUUUUCAAUUGUUGGAACUGUAUGUGUAAAUGUUGAAAUUAUAAGCACUAUGCUUGGCUUAAGACAACCUUCAUUAUCUCACAUUCCCUUCCCUGAUUCUGUCAUAACUUGUAUUGCCACACUCCACCCCAAAAGACCCAUCUCCUUACCUGUUCCCAGAUCUAAAUGCUGGACGAGCAGCAAUGAUAUGGAUCAGUUCACACCAGACACACUAGAUGAUUAUAUUCUCCUAAUUGUUGGCACUAUCUUUCCCAAGUACCUAAUUAAAUAUGGUUUUCCUCUUGUC